Long non-coding RNA from Pseudophryne corroboree (corroboree frog), 559 nucleotides. RefSeq lists it as uncharacterized. Lineage: Eukaryota; Metazoa; Chordata; Amphibia; Anura; Myobatrachidae. The transcript has 3 exons. The record is from RefSeq and is a predicted model, not a curated record.
UUAAAAUGUUUUGUGUGUAUGUCUUUUAUCCACAAACUCGAGUUAUGAUUAGGUGAAAGAAUAAUCUAACAUAUGUACUAAUGUGGACUAUAUCUGUUUUUCAGGUGAUGGGGGUUACGGCUGCUACUCUUGGCUCCUUACUCCAUUGUCCCAACCUGAUUCUCCUGCUGAACACAGUUACAAUCAUGCACAUAAGGCUACGCGGAAUGUGAUAGAAAGAUGUUUUGGUGUGCUGAAGUCACGGUUUCGGUGUCUGGAUAAAUCUGCUGGCCUUUUGUUGUAUAGUCCCUCAAAGAUAACUGAGGGGAUCGGGGCUCAUCACUCUGCGAACUCGCCAAUAGUGCCAGUGGUGGCUGGGGUGACACUGCCGAAAGUCGUCGCCUGGGUGGGGAUGAUGGAGCCGCAGAUUCCGAGCCAAGACGCCGUGUCUUACUUGGCCUCCUGGAAUAUGUGACUACACUGAAGUCUUACCUGCAAUCCCAGCCUCAUCCUGACUUGUCUGAGGCCUGUCUGGCCGGCUGGUCUGUGGGACUGUUGAAAAAGUGUACCAAACAUUAUU